This is a long non-coding RNA of Solea senegalensis (Senegalese sole), 505 nucleotides long. RefSeq lists it as uncharacterized. The transcript has 3 exons. The record is from RefSeq and is a predicted model, not a curated record. NCBI's taxonomy places the organism in Eukaryota, Metazoa, Chordata, Actinopteri, Pleuronectiformes, Soleidae.
UGAGGCAGAACCUCACUUCUGAGGAACUGGUAACGUUUAGGACCAAGAUCUGAAAAGUGGGUGUGUUGGAGCAGGGAGACAUCUAGAACAUGCCGGGCACUGGGAACCCAGGACCAGGGUUGAAACACGAGGGAAAAUGCUGGGGAACUCACACGUUGAUGACGAGACAAUCUGGCAGAGAAUGAAAGCUGCAACUCGAAGCAUCUCAGCUCCUGUUUGUGUUUGAGGAAGAACAAAAUCCUCCUCCUUCCUCCUUCUCUGUGCUGCUGAGAGAGAAGAUAACAGGACUCCCAUAACAUCACACUACAAAUGCAGAAAAAACAACCCUUCAAGAAAUGAGUCAAUUGAAUACUCUUGAAUUUAUAUAAAUGUACUUGUUGUAAGGAAAAAGAAUCUGCCAAUGGGGUAAGCAAAAUCCACUUGGCUUGAAUAUUUAACACUAUUUUGUAUAUUUAGCCACUUUCCAACUGUAUUGUGCUUUAAAACAAGGAAAAACUGGCCAAAA